CUGAGCCAGCCGGCUCCUGCCCUGGCUUUGGGGGAAGUGCACGAGACGAGACUGAAGGAAAGGAUUGCUGCCAUCACCACCCCUGCCACAGAGAGGACGGGAGAAUGAGGCCAAACAGAGUGAAGAGGAACCCCAGAGGUGACAACAGGAGCCUGAUGACACAAGACCCAGUGGGUCAGUUUGUGCCUAGAGCCAGCUCCCACCCAGUUGCCUCCCUUCUGUGCUGUCUUUGCUUAGCUCACUGGGCUCCGAAGGAGGCCUCAUUGGGGCAGAUCUUUCUUUGUCUGUGUCUCUUCAGGGGAGGGUGACGCCUCUGUGCAGACCACACCAGUGACUUGCUUAACACCGUCUCCUGACCUGUGCUAUUAUGGGUUGACUGUGUCAAAAACUCAACCCAAGUCCCAACCCCCAGUAGCUAAGGGUGUGACCUUAUUUGGAGGCAGGAACUUUACAGAGAUCAACAAGUUAAAUCAAGGUCCUUAGGUGGGGGCCAACCCCACCCACUGGCCUUUAUGGAAAGGGGACAUGUGAACAUGGAUGAGCGCCCAGGAAGGGCAUCAUAUGAGGAUGAUGCUGAGGGACGCAUCCACAAGCCACUGAACCCACAGGUGCCAGUGGAGAGGAGAGGAGGGGACACUUGCCCUCACUGCCAGGGAACCAGCUCCGCCAACACGUCGGGCCUGGACUUCUGGACUCCAUCGCAUGAGACAACCCCUGUCUGCUGUAAGAGUCCCCAACCCAGGGGACAGGAAGCCUGCCACCACCAGCAACCUGGGCCUGCACGGGACACCUCAGAGCACCGCAGCCGCCUCCCGACUCCCCCAGGGGUGUUCAGCUGCUUGAGGAAGACAUCGAUCAGACCCCAACGCACCACUGGCCCAGGCAGUGCACAGGCUCAGCACCAGCUGGGGCCACUUUCCUUACAGGGACGUCACACCUGUGUGACCCAGGGUUUCAACAGCUGGUGUGAUAAAAAUAAAAUUAAACCCCCAAAGUUUUACCCUUGGGGGAAACUGAGCAAAGGGUAUGGGUCAUCUCUGCGUUAGUUCUUGCAGCUGCUGUGAAUCCACAACUAUCCCCAACUAAAUUUUCUACUAAAAACUUCUUUAAAUGUUCCAUUUAAAAAAAAAAAAAGCAAGUCCAUCAAUAGAUGAACGGAUUGAGAAACUGUGGUGUACACACACUGGGGUUCUGCUCAGCUAUGAAGGAGGAGGAGGUUGUGGCAUUUGCUGGUGAAUGGAUGGAAAUGGAGACCAUCGCGCCACGUGAAACAAGCCAGACCCAGAAACUCAAAGGUGAGACGCUUCCUCUCAUAUGUAGCAACUAGAGUAUACCAAGGAAAGGAGGGAAGGCCGAAGACAUGAAGAUGCGGGAAGAUCAGUGUGGAGGCAGCAUGGAGGGGCAGAACAGGGGAGGAGACGAGGAACAAAUUCUCAAAAACCAAUGUUAUGUGCAUAAAUAGAUACCCCUCAGGGAACUUCACCUUGUGUAUAAGUGAAAAGAAACAACCAAAAACUAAUAAGUAGACAAGCGAAAGGAAGUCUAGACCAGGGGUGGGGGGAGGACAGGAAGGAAAAGUGGGGGGAUCGCGAACUGAAACCGAGUCCCACACAGGUAUGAUGUUGUCAGGAUGGACCCAACCACUCUGUGUGACUGUCAUGGUCCAAUAAGAAAAAAAGCAAGUAACGCACGGUACAGGACCAAUACAGAGUUCCACAAAAUCACCUGGGAAUGAAGGCAGCCAUGCUCAAUCUGACUUCAAGAGUUGGAAAGACUGUUCAGGGCCUGUACACCAUCCAGCUGGGAUCAGCUGUCUAGCUGAGCAUGGGUAAAUGCCUGUAAUCCCAGCAAGUCAGGAGGCUGAAGCAGGAGGAUCACAAGGUCAAGCCCAGCCUCAGCAAUAUGGAAGACCCUAAGGAACUUAGCAAGAUUCUUUCUCAAAACGAAGAACAAAAGGGGCUGGGGAUGUGGGUUCAUUCCCCAGUACCAUAGAAAGAAGGAAGGAAGGAAGGAAGGAAAGAAGGAAUCAGCUAUAGGUCUAGCUAUGGUUCCUCUGAAAAAGUUGUUUUCUGGCUACUUUUACAUCCUUUCUUGACCUUGUGUGUGUACUGGCCAGUUCUCUACUGUGGGACCCUAACCCCUAUCUGACCUGCAGUUCUCCAUAAUCAAGUUUCUUAGGGCAAAAGAAUCCAUGGGAUCAAAAUAAGCAGAUCAUCCUGCUUGGACCUGACUCUGCUGAGUUUCCAUGGACGACUAAAGAAAGCAACUGAAGCAGACACACCCACUGAGCCCCUGAACUUCACGAAACAGCCACAAGCCUAAAGUGAAAACCAGAAUUCAGCUUCCAAAAGGCAGUCAGUGGUAUCAAGGGCUGUCCAAACAGACCAACUGAAAUUCAAAUGGAAUCAAACCAUGAACCAUGUGAUAGACACAGUCAGGAUCACUGAAGGCAUCUGUGUCCUAAUUCCUGUAACCUGUGAAUACGAUGUUACCUUCAACAGCCAAAAGGACUUUGUGGAUGUGAUAAAGUUGAGGAUCUGGACAUGGGGAAAUUAGCCUAGAAAAAUCACGUUGUUUGCAAGGACAAGUAGCUGAUCUGGGUGGAGCAAUUUGAUCAGAGGAUCCAAAAACAUGAAAAGGGGAGGCAUGAGAGUCAGAGAAAGAGAGUGGUUAAGAAAAGCAGGGCUGGGGUGAUACAGCCCAGAAAAAGACUCAACCCGCCACUGCCAGCUUUGAAGGAGGAGGAAGGGGUCACGAACCAAAGGAUACAGUGGACUCCAGGAGCUUUAAAAAGUAUGGAAACAGAUUAACCCUGAAGCCCACAGAAAAUGCAGCCCUGACAACACCCUGCUUUUAGACUAGUAAGACCCCUUCAGACUUCAGACGUCCAGGGCUGCCAUGUUCUGUGGUCAUUGUUACAGCAGCAAUAAGAAACUAAUACAGACCACCACACAGGAGCAAUUUCCAAACUCCCAUUUGUGAGUCAAUGAUGUGCAAGAAAACAUUUGUUCUAGACAAACAGUGCUCUUUAAUCAAAAGUAGGUGAGAAAUACCAGAAUGAAUCCCUUGUAGAAUAAAGUAAAUAUUCCUUGGUGUCA
Long non-coding RNA from Marmota monax (woodchuck), 3098 nucleotides. RefSeq lists it as uncharacterized. The record is from RefSeq and is a predicted model, not a curated record. The transcript is spliced from 2 exons. NCBI's taxonomy places the organism in Eukaryota, Metazoa, Chordata, Mammalia, Rodentia, Sciuridae.